RNAcentral lists this transfer RNA (70 nucleotides) under Ictidomys tridecemlineatus (thirteen-lined ground squirrel). RNAcentral's name for it is "Spermophilus tridecemlineatus (thirteen-lined ground squirrel) tRNA". It matches the Rfam family "tRNA". From Rfam's summary of the family: Transfer RNA (tRNA) molecules are approximately 80 nucleotides in length. Their secondary structure includes four short double-helical elements and three loops (D, anti-codon, and T loops). Further hydrogen bonds mediate the characteristic L-shaped molecular structure. tRNAs have two regions of fundamental functional importance: the anti-codon, which is responsible for specific mRNA codon recognition, and the 3' end, to which the tRNAs corresponding amino acid is attached (by aminoacyl-tRNA synthetases). tRNAs cope with the degeneracy of the genetic code in two manners: having more than one tRNA (with a specific anti-codon) for a particular amino acid; and 'wobble' base-pairing, i.e. permitting non-standard base-pairing at the 3rd anti-codon position. Lineage: Eukaryota; Metazoa; Chordata; Mammalia; Rodentia; Sciuridae. The record is from Rfam by way of RNAcentral.
GGGGUUGUGGCUCAAUGGUUAGAGUGCUCGCCUCUCAUGUGCGAGGCACUGGGUUCGAUCCUCAGCACCA